AAGUUGUAUGAAAGGGGAGGUUAGCAUUCCCUUUGACAAGGAUGGAGGAGGCCCUUGGGCCUGACAACACACAAUACAGUUAAGAGGCAUUGCCACCUACUUUAUGGCUUUUUUUUUUUUUUUUUU
Molecule: non-coding RNA, 126 nt
Filed under: Vulpes vulpes (red fox)
Lineage: Eukaryota; Metazoa; Chordata; Mammalia; Carnivora; Canidae
Source: RNAcentral